Molecule: non-coding RNA, 208 nt
Organism: Clostridium botulinum Ba4 str. 657
Lineage: Bacteria; Bacillati; Bacillota; Clostridia; Eubacteriales; Clostridiaceae
Source: Rfam
GAGAACUAAUAUUCCAAGAUGUCGAAUGAAAGGGUAACGCCUUGAAAGGCACUACUAAUACUCCGAUAUGUGUCAUGUAUAUAAGAAACAUGAGAUAUAAAGCUCGGUGAAGACAGUUGAGAGUACACCGUAAGUAGAUGAAAAACCAUUCCUACCCGAAAUGCGAACCAGAGGUGGUCGAGUGUAUGAUAGACUGGGUAUCUAUAAA